CCUACGGGAGGCAGCAGUGGGGAAUAUUGGGCAAUGGGCGCAAGCCUGACCCAGCAACGCCGCGUGAAGGAAGAAGGCUUUCGGGUUGUAAACUUCUUUUGUCAGGGACGAAGCAAGUGACGGUACCUGACGAAUAAGCCACGGCUAACUACGUGCCAGCAGCCGCGGUAAUACGUAGGUGGCAAGCGUUAUCCGGAUUUACUGGGUGUAAAGGGCGUGUAGGCGGGACUGCAAGUCAGAUGUGAAAACCACGGGCUCAACCUGUGGCCUGCAUUUGAAACUGUAGUUCUUGAGUACUGGAGAGGCAGACGGAAUUCCUAGUGUAGCGGUGAAAUGCGUAGAUAUUAGGAGGAACACCAGUGGCGAAGGCGGUCUGCUGGACAGCAACUGACGCUGAGGCGCGAAGGCCAGGGGAGCGAAAGGGAUUAGAUACCCUUGUAGUC
This 443-nucleotide ribosomal RNA is filed under the name uncultured bacterium. RNAcentral describes it as "partial 16S ribosomal RNA". It matches the Rfam family "Bacterial small subunit ribosomal RNA", at positions 338 to 795 of the family's 1533-position model. The record is from RNAcentral.